UACGUAGGGGGCAAGCGUUGUCCGGAAUCAUUGGGCGUAAAGCGCGUGUAGGCGGCCCGAUAAGUCCGCUGUGAAAGUCCAGGGCUCAACCCUGGGAUGCCGGUGGAUACUGUCGGGCUAGAGUGCGGGAGAGGCGAGUGGAAUUCCUGGUGUAGCGGUGAAAUGCGCAGAUAUCAGGAGGAACACCAAUUGCGAAGGCAGCUCGCUGGAACGUAACUGACGCUGAGACGCGAAAGCGUGGGGAGCAAACAGG
This 253-nucleotide ribosomal RNA is filed under the name uncultured bacterium. RNAcentral describes it as "partial 16S ribosomal RNA". It matches the Rfam family "Bacterial small subunit ribosomal RNA", at positions 524 to 776 of the family's 1533-position model. The record is from RNAcentral.